CCUACGGGUGGCAGCAGUAGGGAAUAUUGCUCAAUGGGGGAAACCCUGAAGCAGCAACGCCGCGUGGAGGAUGAAGGUUUUCGGAUUGUACACUCCUUUUGUUAGAGAAGAUAAUGACGGUAUCUAACGAAUAAGCACCGGCUAACUCCGUGCCAGCAGCCGCGGUAAUACGGAGGGUGCAAGCGUUACUCGGAAUCACUGGGCGUAAAGAGCGCGUAGGCGGGAUAGCAAGUCAGAUGUGAAAUCCUAGGGCUUAACCAUAGAACUGCAUUUGAAACUGUUAUUCUAGAGUAUGGGAGAGGUAGGUGGAAUUCUUGGUGUAGGGGUAAAAUCCGUAGAGAUCAAGAGGAAUACUCAUUGCGAAGGCGACCGGCUAGAACAUAACUGACGCUGAUGCGCGAAAGCGUGGGGAGCAAACAGGAUUAGAUACCCCAGUAGUC
Molecule: ribosomal RNA, 440 nt
Filed under: uncultured bacterium
Lineage: Bacteria
Description: partial 16S ribosomal RNA
Rfam family: Bacterial small subunit ribosomal RNA
Source: RNAcentral